CCUGGUUGCUGAACAAAUUGCUUAUAAGUUUUGACAAAUAAAAUAUUUUUCUUCAAAGAUAACAUAGCCAAAGCUUUAUUACAGUCUAUUACAGUUUAUUUUGUGUCAUCAAAAUCUAUGGGUCUUGGCAAAAUUGCUGAAACUAUUAUCUUUAAAGAAGGAAAAACAUUGCAAAUAAAAUCAAUUAAAUUAUUAUAAUAUUGAACAAUCAAUUUACUGGAUAAACCAUUCCCAACAUCGUUUGUGCCUACAUGCAAUAACAAAUGUGUAUAUUUUCUUAAAAGUGAUUUGUUGUCUUUUACAAAUUGUUGAAGAGUGUAUAUAUUAGCACCAGAUAUAGCAUUGCAAUCCAGCCAGUUAAUAUUAUUGACAUAUUUACAAGUGGAAUCUGACAGCAACAAAACCUUAUUUUUUGACACAAAGUCUACAAAAAAUAAAAUAAGAUAAGGUAAACAAACAAUAUUAAUUCAGAAUUUCAUCAGCCAUAGCUCGUGAAAUAGACAAUUUGUCAUGUAAGUCAAACUCUAAAUAAACUUUAUAUGCGUCACUACGCCAAUCCCCGUGAAAUUGUAUUAACUCGGAAGGAACUUUACUGUGAAAAGCCCAUGUAGCCCCUCCUCUGCGAAAAGAAUGA
Molecule: long non-coding RNA, 634 nt
Filed under: Mytilus galloprovincialis (Mediterranean mussel)
Lineage: Eukaryota; Metazoa; Mollusca; Bivalvia; Mytilida; Mytilidae
Source: RNAcentral